This is a long non-coding RNA of Triticum aestivum (bread wheat), 4782 nucleotides long. RefSeq lists it as uncharacterized. The transcript is spliced from 3 exons. NCBI's taxonomy places the organism in Eukaryota, Viridiplantae, Streptophyta, Magnoliopsida, Poales, Poaceae. The record is from RefSeq and is a predicted model, not a curated record.
CCUCAGCCCCUCUCUCUCCCUCGUCUCUUCUCAUCCCCUCCUCCCCCCGUGCCGCCGCCUCCGAUUCCCGCCUCCCUCUCGGCCGCGAGCGCUGGCGCCGGCGUGGGAUGGAAGCGGCCGCCACCUCUUCUCACUCCACGUUCCCGAUCUGGAGAGGGAGGGACAUACACGGCCACAUGUGCCCGCGCCGUCGGGAUGCUUCUUGAGGGUUGCAGCAGGCCUUGGUGCCGAUGAAGGGAUGGUACAUGGCAUCGUCGUCGUCGACCUAGGUGGCUAGGUAGAAGGGCAAGCCAAGAUGAACCUCUCGCAUUAUCUAUGAAGUUCGUCAUGGAAGACGCGGAAGAAAAGUCCAUUUAAGCUCCUCUGAUUUUCUUCCAUAAUUUUUCUCCUCUGGGUGUAGAUAGAUACUGCACAACAGUUAGUUUCUUUCCCUUCUGGAUCACGUCUAAUUUUGGGGAAAAGAUGCAGGAAUUUUGAUAGAGAUGGAGAACUGGAUGAGCUUUGUUUCCUUGCCUUCUCGACCGCAUUUAAUUUUGGGGAAAAGAGUGGAAUUUGAGAGAGGGGGACAACCUGAAGAUCUUUGAACAUUCGGGAGCAGCCAUAUCCUCAGUGCUAUGCCAGCCUCCUCGCCACUGCUGUCGUGUGGCUGUGACUACUUUUGGCUGCUGGCGAGAUGGGCACAAUUUCCUCCGGGUUCAUGCAUCGUGAUGGAAGGGAUCAGUUUUGGCCGUGUUCGGUGCUGGCAUGUCAUGUGAUUAGAGAAUAGGAAGCUGACAUGAUGUUUGAAACUCGGUGGUCAUGCUCAUUGACUAGAUGCUGCGCCUCAUGUCACCCCGGGCGUCGAAGGGCUUGCUAGCAGUGCCCAUGGAGUAAGAAUAUGUCUGCAAGUGCUUGUUUGCCAUAUGCCUACCCACUCCUCCGUCUCAUGAAGCUUUCUUUUAUUUCUCUAAAUUUGCGGUGUGCAUGUCUGAAAAAAUAACAUGAAUAGGCUAUGGUAAGGCUUUGGCAAAGAACAUUCUUUCCCUUGCUUGUGGAAAUUUUGGUCCUCUAAUGUCGAUUCCAUGAUUUUUGAUUAAUAAAUGUUGUUGGUAUUUGAUCUUUUUGUUGCUCAUGUCCUACUUGAUUUUGCAUGGGUACAGGCAAAAUACUAUUGGAGUGACAUAUAGUGCAUCGUUACUGGCUACAUUGAAUUCAAUUUUGUUUCACUUCGAUUUUGUUUUUCUGCAAAUUGUUUCUAGGUGGCUGUUGAUGAAUCAUGUGAGGAUGGCGUAGAACCCACCGGUGGGAAAAUAACGAACUGUGGUAACCAAAUUAAACAGCUGAGAUGGUAAAAUUAGGGAAGGAUUAGCGGUCCAGUGUUUCGGUAAUUUUUUCCAGAGUGGUUGAAUUGGUCGAACAAACUUCAUAUCAAACUACCUCAGCUAAUCGCCCCAUGUAUUCUGAUGUACAUGCAUGUUUAAGGCGAACAAUUUAUCAGGUGUGGUGUUAUGAUGGUUCUGGUGGGUGGUUGCAGCUAUGAGGCCGAGCUAAUCGAGUUGUCUAUGCACGACAAGAUUUUUCGCGUCAUAAGUCCUCGUGAUGAGGGUCUGUAGUACAUAGGUUGGGCAGGUUGAUGGAUUGAAAAGGUAAAUAGAUCUCUUCUUGUGAUUGAUUUCUUUAUGCUUUUGUUUGGAGGGUUUAAGAGGUGAGCGAGGUUUGUGAUUUUUUUUCCAGUGUGCUCGAUCUUGAUUUCGGACACGAUCAUGCCUUUAUAAGCCUUGUGUUGUGUGUUCAUGCAACUAAUUAUAUGCUUAUAUUCGUUAGCUAUGGAACUCUUCGUACUCAUUGGCAGUUUCGUUAGUUCUGAAGUUUGAUAGAAAAUUGAUUGCAACUGCAGUGGUUAGCGAAUGAAUUUUUUGGUACUUGUUGACCAUUUAGUUAGAGAUGAUUCAACAAUAUAUGAUGUUCAGAAAUUACACAGAUCACUAGAACCUGUAGUUUUCGGCUAAAAAGAGCUCGGGCUUGAUGUUUGAUUUGAUAUAACUUUUUUGUUGCUUUGCAGCCCAGUACAUUUUUGAAUUCUGUACACGUGGAUUAUCCAUUUUUGCUUAUUAUUUUUAUACAUUGUCAUCUUAUCGAAACUUUAUUUUAUUAUCUUCCAUCAUACUAACUCCAUUCAUAGUAUUUAUUUCCAUCAGAAAAUAACUUCAUUAUGUGUUUGCUCAAAAUUUAUAAAGAAAAAAAGCAUAUGAUACGCUGGCCUUGCGGAACAUUCAUGUAUUAGGCUUGUCUUAAUAAUACCGCCUGCUCAUUGUUAAUGUAUAUGUGCCACCCAAUGGUUGCUCCUGCCUAAUUAUAUGGAUGAUGGCAGUAGACAUGCUUGUUCUAUGGGUUACGUGCUUGUUAUUUUUAUGCAUCUUCUCAUCGUUCAUUUUUCUUCGUUGUAGCCCACUGAUUUCGUCUAUAACACGCUGGUAGGUGUUUCGCUCAACUGGAUUGUAGGUCGCUUUCCGUGCUCUCGUCGCCUUGUCUGCUGAGUACUUUUUGACUAUCCGUACUUACCAGGGUUUUUGCUUGCUCACUUGAACCCCCUAUUACUCCCAAUCUUUCUGUUUCAGUUUUGCUUCUUGAUUUAUUUCCCUGCUUGCAUAUAUAUCAUCUAUCUCACUUCACACUACUCACUCUUUGUUGGGCCUACUUCAGUUUUGCAUGUUUGAAUAUUUGUAGUUUGGUCAUGUGUAUCACAUAUCUUUCAGCAUUUGAGUUUCACAGUUUUCAAAAUUUUGCUGGCCACGUGUAUCACUGAUGACACUUAUACAAGUGCUUAUUUUGAUUUUAUUUGUUUGGUAUGUUUUACUGGUGACAUAUAUUUCACAUAUCUCACUCAGUUUAGUGCCUGCCACAUAAUUACUAUUUGUGAUUUUGGAUUGUACUAGCUUUGAUUUGGCUGAUUUCAAGUGAGGAACAUGAGUGGGCUGAUGUAUUAGGCAUGACCAUGGGAAGGCGGUGUUUUCUAUGGUAGAAUUAGUAUGGUGGUAUAAUUCACUGCAUGGUUGGUAGGUUCACUGAUGCAUUUUGUUUAUAGAUGCCUUGACUUCUUGGCCGUCGUGCGUAGCUGCGCGUCGCCGCGGGCGAGUCUCGGCUCGCCUUGCUCUGUUCCACUGUGGCAAUAUUUCCAACUUAUUACAUGAAUGGCUCUAAAAUAACAAGCUUUCGACAUCCUAUGCUUUUUCUAGAAGCUGUUGGUUCUUACUCAAACAUAAAUGCUUCCACGAUAGUGUGGCAUAUUCUCUGACUUCAUUCCUGUGUGUUCUGGAAGAGGAAAAACAAUUCUGUUUGUAUCCCGCCGUGUUCUGGAAGAGGAAUAAGAAUUCCAACACUGGUAGCUAUGUUAGUGUGAUAUGGAGAUGGUUUAUUCCAUGGAAGAGUAGUCACAACUUUUUGUGAAGAUAAUUCCUGAGACUCAAGACAUUGGUCAUGUUUAAGCUUUAGGUGCUUGGAGAUUAUUUGCUGACAUAUCUACUAUUGUUUCCUUCUAACUAUCUGCUGCUAUUUCUCAAUCUAUCGUUCUAAUAUAUCUACCAAAAAGGAUUUGAGAACGCUUGCUUAUUUAGUAAGAAUAUCCUCUUUCUUUGACUGGAGCUUUUUUAGUUCAUGGUUGAUGUCAUUUCAUAUUAUUAGGUGGUUGUCGAUAGUGUCUGUUAAGAUGGAAACAUUUUGCCACCAGGUAGCGUGGUGGUGUAGUCAAUUUUGUAUCUGAUUAUGAUCUUAUUUUUCAGGGUUAUAGUGCAAGGAAACCACACAACCAAAUGAUUGUUCCAAAAAAUUCAAAUUUCCCUUCGCACAUGUACAAGAGCAUCAUAGGUUGUUUAGUCUUGGAGUUCCAAAAAACUGGUUGACUUGUGUACUACAGAGGUAAUGGAACACCUACUUUCACCUAUGUGGGUUUAAUGAUAGAUAACUGUUGCAAUAGAUGGAGCACCUACUUUCACCUAUAUGGGUUUAAUUAUAGAUAAUUGCUACAGUAGUUUGCCAUGUUUGACAUUGCAUAAAUAUGCUUGGAAUAUCAUAUAUCAGGUAAACCUUGAAAACAAGAGAAAUGGUGGUAUUCUCUACACUAGGUUUCAGUUUACUGAAAAUCCACUCUUCAUUUACUGAGUUUUAUGUUUGUUCUUGCUAUCUGCCAGCUCCAUGAUACAAUGGUUUGGAAAAUUUGUAUCGAAUGAUGAUGAUCCAUAAAGCCCUAGGCUGUUCUUUUGCUCACGAGUGAGUUUACUACUUUCUGGUUGCAUGCGCCAAGUCGCCGAGCAGACACUUUUUUUGCAAACUGAUGUAGGAUUAGUUGUUGCAUUGCUUAGUUGGGCUCUGGAGCAGCGAGUACCUUAGUUGAUGCAAUAAUAGCUUCUUGAUGCAUAUAACAUUCUUGCUAUAAUCUGGCCUGAGUUCAAUGUUUUGCAAAAUUCUAUGUAAAUGCGACAAAAGAUCUAGCUUUCUUAUAUUUGGUACUAUGCUUUAGUUACAAUAAUGCACAAAUGGAUUUAUGGAUUAAAUGGAAACAUUGGAAGGAAGACAUCAUUAAAUGUACAGGCACUCUCUGUUCUUACAAAUCUAGCCUAGGUUUGAUACUGAUCUUUCAUCGCUUCAUGCUAAUCUUUUCGGUAUAACAAUACAUAUAUACCUAUUCAGUGAUUUGGUUCCUCUUUGCUGAACUUUUAUUCUUUCCUGCUCAUCUAUAUAGGUUAUGACACUAGUGCAGAACCAGGCUUUAGUGCCGGUUUGUGACGGCCUUUAGUGCCGGUUGGC